This 421-nucleotide ribosomal RNA is filed under the name uncultured bacterium. Its description in RNAcentral is "partial 16S ribosomal RNA". It matches the Rfam family "Bacterial small subunit ribosomal RNA", at positions 355 to 774 of the family's 1533-position model. The record is from RNAcentral.
UAGGGAAUAUUGGGCAAUGGAGGCAACUCUGACCCAGCCAUGCCGCGUGCAGGAAGAAGGCGCUCAGCGUUGUAAACUGCUUUUAUCGGGGAAGAAACGACCCUUGCGAGGGGCAUUGACGGUACCCGAUGAAUAAGCACCGGCUAACUCCGUGCCAGCAGCCGCGGUAAUACGGAGGGUGCAAGCGUUGUCCGGAUUUAUUGGGUUUAAAGGGUGCGCAGGCGGGAAGGUUAUUUCGUGGUGAAAGACGAUCGCUCAACGAUUGCAGUGCCAUGAAUACUGCCUUUCUUGAAUCUGGUUGAGGCCGGUGGAAUUGACCGUGUAGCGGUGAAAUGCAUAGAUAUGGUCAAGAACUCCAAUUGCGAAGGCAGCCGGCUGGGCCAGUAUUGACGCUCAGGCACGAGAGUGCGGGGAUCAAACA